GUAUUGGUGGUUUUGUGGUAGAAUUCUUGCCUUCCAUGCUGGAGGCCAAGGUUCAGUUCCUGGUCAAUGUA
This 71-nucleotide transfer RNA is filed under the name Loxodonta africana (African savanna elephant). It matches the Rfam family "tRNA". Rfam says of the family: Transfer RNA (tRNA) molecules are approximately 80 nucleotides in length. Their secondary structure includes four short double-helical elements and three loops (D, anti-codon, and T loops). Further hydrogen bonds mediate the characteristic L-shaped molecular structure. tRNAs have two regions of fundamental functional importance: the anti-codon, which is responsible for specific mRNA codon recognition, and the 3' end, to which the tRNAs corresponding amino acid is attached (by aminoacyl-tRNA synthetases). tRNAs cope with the degeneracy of the genetic code in two manners: having more than one tRNA (with a specific anti-codon) for a particular amino acid; and 'wobble' base-pairing, i.e. permitting non-standard base-pairing at the 3rd anti-codon position. Lineage: Eukaryota; Metazoa; Chordata; Mammalia; Proboscidea; Elephantidae. The record is from Rfam by way of RNAcentral.